GCUCCUUUGUCGUCCGCGGUUGGGCGCGAAGAACUUGCUGCGGCUGUGGGGCACCAGUAAGCGCUGGGCAGCCGCGGCCUCGCCCGCCUCCCGCGCCCCUCCGCGACCUCUUGGGCCUGGUCGCCGCCGCAGGUAACGUCAACUUGUUAUAUUCCGGUGACAGAAGCUCCCCAUCCAAUUUAGAAGCAGCCACUAAUGCCCCCGAACACGGACCACAGCUUAAUUAAUGCUACCGGUUAGAAGUGGAGAUCUGAGGGUCUAAGGAGGGAGACUCCUUGUCCGAGGAGGUAUUGCCAGGAAGGAGGCCAGCAGCCCUCAGCAGGUAAGGAGAGCAAGCUGCUCAAAAAGGCUUUUAUUCUCAGAGUCCUGUGCCAACAACAUCUGUAUCACUUUUUUUAAAGACAAAAAUGUAGGAAGACUGGUCAACAGAAAUUUAAUGAUUAUCCAGAGAGCCAUAAGGGCUGGAUGAGGGCUCCAGAGGCCCCUAUAUGUCAGGAGCAGGGAUUUUUAUCCCUCUAGACCAGGAAGCGUUGAGUAGAAUGAAAGAACCCAAGCUUUACCUAAUUCAAACUCACAUUUCAAUUCCCAGCCAAAGGUCUUGAAGCAUGGUGGGAAGCAGAGCUUCCUUGAAGAAGGAGUUAGGAUCUGAGGUUGAAUAGGUACAAAUAUAUCAACUCCUGAACAUCAUCAACACCCUAUUUAGAUGCAGACAAUGGGAAGUUGGCUUAUGACUCUCAUAGCAUGGUGACAAUGCAAUACUUGAUAAAAAUGGUUCUUAGAAUAUUUAGAGUUUGUUCUGUUUCUCUGCCAUGUGCUUACAGGGUACUCCUAUAAAUUCCUUCUCUUAUCCGGAUUCAGAGACCUACAAGUCCUGGUACAGACUGGAAUCUAGAAAAGGCAAUUCCUUGGUUUGAGUUUUUUCAAAAUGUCUGUGCAAGGAAAAUGAAGGUGCUGGCCAUUUUCCCAGGUGGAGAUAUCUGACUCAAUGACUAGAUCUGACACUUUGGUGAUCCAGGGUGAGAAGGAGUUGAACAGCAACCCAGGUGUCUGGGCUUGGAAGGGGUCCCCUCCACCAUUAAUGGUAAGGAGAUGAGGUCCAGAGAGGGGACUGAGCCCCAAGAUUUCAGUCCAACUGCUCGCUCCUGCAGCAAUCUCACCAAACAGCAAAGGGUUUCCCACUCAGCUGUUCCCUGGUAGAGCAAGUGAGAGAUGGAGAUGUCUGGCCAUUCUCCAAUGCUAGAUUCACCUCCCUUAGGGCCCUGUGCUUUUCUGAAAUAAUGUAGGAAAAUUAAGGGAAAUCAGGAGGUUCCAGGGACUUAGCAAGGUUUAGGUGACAGCACAAGGUCACACAGGCUCUGAAACACCAAGCUAUUGCUCCAGUAUGGGUUUUAUCUGAUUCCAAAGUUCAUUCUUCUACUUGAGAUCUGAGCGCUUCACACCAGCAUGUGAUUAGUUAAGGCUGGAAAAGGGAGAGUAAUGAAAGCUCCGUGUUGAAUAGAUAUGAAUAUAUGAACACCUGAACAUCAUCAACGCUAAAUCUCCUGAAACCUUAUUUCAGAUAUAAUUAUAGCUGAGCCAAAAAGCCACUAUUAGCAUGUAAAGCCUCUAGUGCACUUGCUGUAUGAGCCACUGAGUAUUCCCAGCCCUGUGAUGCAGAAAGAAAAAACCCGAGAAUUCAGCUCAUUCACUCAAGUCACUGACACACCAAAGGAAAAGCUCUUGUAAGUCCAUUUAGGUGGUUUAAGACUGAGGGACAUGCCAAGAAUCCAUAAAUAGAAAUAAGCAUUGGUCAUCGGAGCAGUGUGGUCAGGCCCUUUCUGGCCGGGAGGUCAUUUCGGGCCCCAGCAGCUACUUGUUCAGCUCUGGUGUCUGAACUACCAAAGUGAAUUAUUCACUUAGGAGAGUGAAAAACAUCCAGCUCCCCCAGAUUAUCAAAUGGAGUUUUCUAGUACAAAAUGUCUUAGUCACUUGGAAUCUGACCAAAGUAAACUCCUGGUCCCGACCCACCCAUACGUUUGUGCUGGGUGGGAAUGGAUAGAGGGAAGUCCCCAAACAAACGGAAAGGUGUCAAGAAACAAGACCCACAGCAUCCUUUCUCCACAUUAACCCGGUCACGCACCAGGCCUGAGCUCACCCUG
Molecule: non-coding RNA, 2138 nt
Organism: Microcebus murinus (gray mouse lemur)
Lineage: Eukaryota; Metazoa; Chordata; Mammalia; Primates; Cheirogaleidae
Source: RefSeq, a predicted model, not a curated record